UACAUUUUAGUAUAAAACGUAUAAAAGUUUUUGAUGCUUUAGGUAAUAGUUUAAUUCUAUUAAAUGUAA
RNAcentral lists this transfer RNA (69 nucleotides) under Scirtes orbicularis. Its description in RNAcentral is "tRNA-Gln". It matches the Rfam family "tRNA". From Rfam's summary of the family: Transfer RNA (tRNA) molecules are approximately 80 nucleotides in length. Their secondary structure includes four short double-helical elements and three loops (D, anti-codon, and T loops). Further hydrogen bonds mediate the characteristic L-shaped molecular structure. tRNAs have two regions of fundamental functional importance: the anti-codon, which is responsible for specific mRNA codon recognition, and the 3' end, to which the tRNAs corresponding amino acid is attached (by aminoacyl-tRNA synthetases). tRNAs cope with the degeneracy of the genetic code in two manners: having more than one tRNA (with a specific anti-codon) for a particular amino acid; and 'wobble' base-pairing, i.e. permitting non-standard base-pairing at the 3rd anti-codon position. The record is from RNAcentral. Lineage: Eukaryota; Metazoa; Arthropoda; Insecta; Coleoptera; Scirtidae.